RNAcentral lists this ribosomal RNA (164 nucleotides) under uncultured bacterium. Its description in RNAcentral is "partial 16S ribosomal RNA". It matches the Rfam family "Bacterial small subunit ribosomal RNA", at positions 355 to 511 of the family's 1533-position model. The record is from RNAcentral.
UAGGGAAUCUUCCACAAUGGACGAAAGUCUGAUGGAGCAACGCCGCGUGAGUGAAGAAGGUUUUCGGCUCGUAAAACUCUGUUGUUAAAGAAGAACAUAUCUGAGAGUAACUGUUCAGGUAUUGACGGUAUUUAACCAGAAAGCCACGGCUAACUACGUGCCAG